GCCAGCAUGGCAUAGUGGUUUGAGUGUUGGACUACAACUCUGGAGACCAGGGUUUGAUUCCCAGCUUGGCC
Molecule: transfer RNA, 71 nt
Filed under: Phrynosoma platyrhinos (Desert horned lizard)
Lineage: Eukaryota; Metazoa; Chordata; Lepidosauria; Squamata; Phrynosomatidae
Description: tRNA-OTHER
Source: RNAcentral